GAGAGGUGCUGCAUGGCUGUCGUCAGCUCGUGUUGUGAAAUGUUGGGUUAAGUCUCGCAAUGAGCGCAACCCCUAUCGUCUGUUGCCAGCAUUAAGUUGGGCACUCUGACGAGACUGCCUGGGUUAACCAGGAGGAAGGUGGGGAUGACGUCAAGUCCUCAUGGCCCUUAUGUCUAGGGCUACACACGUAAUACAAUGGCGCGUACAAAGGGGAGCGAACUCGCAAGGGGCAGCAAAUCUCAAAAAGCGCGUCUCAGUCCGGAUUGGAGUCUGCAACUCGACUCCAUGAAGUUGGAAUCGCUAGUA
This 306-nucleotide ribosomal RNA is filed under the name uncultured Peredibacter sp. RNAcentral's name for it is "bacterial SSU rRNA". It matches the Rfam family "Bacterial small subunit ribosomal RNA", at positions 1033 to 1340 of the family's 1533-position model. Lineage: Bacteria; Pseudomonadati; Bdellovibrionota; Bacteriovoracia; Bacteriovoracales; Bacteriovoracaceae. The record is from RNAcentral.